AUUGGAGGGCAAGUCUGGUGCCAGCAGCCGCGAUAAUUCCAGCUCCAAUAGCGUAUAUUAAAGUUGUUGCAGUUAAAAAGCUCGUAGUUGAACUUUGGGCCUGUGUAGCCGGUCCGAUUUUUUCGUGUACUGGAAUGCACCCGGGCCUUUCCUUCUGGCUAACCCCAAGUCCUUGUGGCUUGGCGGCGAACCAGGACUUUUACUUUGAAAAAAUUAGAGUGUUCAAAGCAGGCGUAUUGCUCGAUUAUAUUAGCAUGGAAUAAUGGAAUAGGACGUUUGGUUCUAUUUUGUUGGUUUCUACGACCAUCGUAAUGAUUAAUAGGGACGGUCGGGGGCAUCAGUAUUCAAUUGUCAGAGGUGAAAUUCUUGGAUUUAUUGAAGACUAACUACUGCGAAAGCAUUUGCCAAGGACGUUUUCAUUAAUCAAGAACGAAAGUUAGGGGAUCGAAGAUGAUCAGAUACCGUCGUAGUCUUAACCAUAAACUAUGCCGACUAGGGAUCGG
RNAcentral lists this ribosomal RNA (503 nucleotides) under uncultured Candida. RNAcentral's name for it is "SSU rRNA". It matches the Rfam family "Eukaryotic small subunit ribosomal RNA", at positions 547 to 1056 of the family's 1831-position model. The record is from RNAcentral. Lineage: Eukaryota; Fungi; Ascomycota; Saccharomycetes; Saccharomycetales.